AUAGGCGGCCAUAGGGGCUUGGUUCACCUGUACCCAUUCGAACACAGAAGUUAAGCAAGCUUCCGUAUCAUGGUGUACCGCACUACGCGGGAAACAUGGUAAGCUGCCACCU
Molecule: ribosomal RNA, 112 nt
Filed under: Candidatus Woesearchaeota archaeon
Lineage: Archaea; Nanobdellati; Candidatus Woesearchaeota
Source: RNAcentral